RNAcentral lists this microRNA (17 nucleotides) under Homo sapiens (human). RNAcentral's name for it is "hsa-miR-4262". Lineage: Eukaryota; Metazoa; Chordata; Mammalia; Primates; Hominidae. The record is from miRBase by way of RNAcentral.
GACAUUCAGACUACCUG